This 1598-nucleotide long non-coding RNA is filed under the name Solanum tuberosum (potato). RNAcentral's name for it is "long non-coding RNA (STUB_LNC010661)". The record is from RNAcentral. Lineage: Eukaryota; Viridiplantae; Streptophyta; Magnoliopsida; Solanales; Solanaceae.
UUUUUAGAGUUUCAUUUAUCGAUAAAAAGGUCAUAAAUCAUGCUAUGUUUCGGGUCAAAGAAGAGCAAAACCAACCAGUGUCUACUUGUGUUGUUCCAUUGCUAAGCAUGUGUGGACUCAACACUAUUUUGUAGGAAACAACCAAGAGAACAUAGCCUGCAAAGUAUAGACGAUUAUCUCUAAUCCAUAUGAAUAACAUGUUGUGCUGACUUAAAUUUGUCAAGAAAAUCAAUUGACUCAGUGCUCCUUGAAUUGUUUAGUUUAUAUAAGGAGGAUAAUGAGUUGAAUUUAGAUAGCACUUUUUUAUAAUGACAGUCUACAUUCAUUCCAAUACAACCAACAUUAUGGUCCUGUAUCGCCUAGUGUACUAAGACAAGAUAUUUUCGUUUGUAUGUUGGAUUCGUAGAUAGAUCAUCUAGCCUUAAAGUUAUGAGUUUGCUUGAAUUCAACAACAACAACAUAUCUAGUGAAAUUCCACAAAGAUGGGUCUGGGGAGGGUAGAGUGUACGCAAGACCUUACCACUACCUCAUGGAGGUAGAGAUGCUAUUUUCGAAAGACACUCAAAUCAAGCCUUGGGUUGUAUCCAAAGAGGAUGGGUAAUGAUGGGUAACCAAUAGGACUCCAGUCACCUCAUCUAGUACAGUUGGCAAUGGGGACAAUGACCAUCAAAUCUGGAUUGUACCUUAAGAGGAUGGGUAAUAAGACUAACUUUUAAUAAUACAUUUGCUUAGCUGAAUUGUUUAUCUGUUUAUAUGUUUGAUGACUACUAUAUUUUAUAUAGGUUUGUUCCUCACAAGAUAGUUAUUGAAGGCAUUGCUAGUUGGAUUCGUAGUAAAUUUGAAUUGGCUAGACCCUUAUGAAAGAAGUUUCCAGAAUCUACUCAUGAUAUGUGGUUUGAGGAACUCAAGGUAAGGACACUAUACACAUAUGAUACAUCAAGUCAUAUGAUUUCGAUGUUAACCUGAGUUAUUGCUUAUUGCCUUCACUAAUUUCCUGUCAAUCUCGUUAGGAUCUUUUGUUUGGUUCAUUUUAGCUCUUGCUUCUCUUAUUUAAUUCUUCAUCUUGCUCAUUGGGUUGUUGAGUUUCACUUUCAUGGACAUUAAGGUUUUAACUUCUCGACAUAUCUAGUUAGGUUUAGUUUUCAUUUUUGGUAUGUUUUUGGGGCUAGCUGUUAAGUCUUAGUUCGGUUAAUGGUUAAUGUUCUAGAGGCAAUCACUUUUUCCUCUAGUUUCUUAUGUAGCGUAUGUGUUUAAAUCUUUUGUUAAUCACCCAUACAUUUGUAUGUGAUCUUGUGUCUUGUUCAAAGAUUUCUUCUUCCUCUUCAGAUUAUGUACAAUCGUUGGUGACGUUGGAUUCUGUGCAAGGAAUUGGAGAGAAUAACUUGUAUCUUAUUCAAUAGGUGAACCUGUAUAAAUACAAUAAUAUUAGAAGCUUACUAAGGACAGAAAUAAAGAGGAAAUCCUAAAGAUAUGCUAUUUAUCUAUAUCUUUGUACAAUAUCAAGAAAGAGAUCUAUAUACAUUCUGUAACACUCCCCCUCAAGCUGGAGCAUGUAUAUUGAUCAUGCGCAACUUGUUACAAAGGUAAUUUACCCGAGC